This 497-nucleotide ribosomal RNA is filed under the name uncultured bacterium. Its description in RNAcentral is "partial 16S ribosomal RNA". It matches the Rfam family "Bacterial small subunit ribosomal RNA", at positions 28 to 507 of the family's 1533-position model. The record is from RNAcentral.
GAUGAACGCUGGCGGCGUGCCUAAUACAUGCAAGUCGAGCGAACGGACGAGCAGCUUGCUUCUCUGAUGUUAGCGGCGGACGGGUGAGUAACACGUGGCUAACCUACCUAUAAGACUGGGAUAACUUCGGGAAACCGGUGCUAAUACCGGAUAUUAUUUUAAACCUCAUGUUUCAAAAGUGAAUGUCGUCCUUUCUGUUACUUAUAUAUGGAUCCGCGCUGCAUUAGCAAGUUGGUAAGGUAACGCCUUACCAAGGCAACGAUUCAUAGCCGACCUGAGAGGGUGAUCCGCCACACGUGAACGGAGACACGGUCCAGAAUCCUACGGGAGGCAGCAGUAGGGAAUCUUCCGCAAUGGGCGAAAGCCUGACGGAGCAACGCCGCGUGAGUGAUGAAGGUCUUCGGAUCGUAAAACUCUGUUAUUAGGGAAGAACAUAUGUGUAAGUAACUGUGCACAUCUUGACGGUAGCUAAACAGAAAGCCACGGCUAACUACGUG